ACUGGCGGACGGGUGAGUAACACGUAGGUAAUCUACCUCCGGGUGGGGAAUAACGUCUCGAAAGAGACGCUAAUACCGCAUAAUGCAGCGGCACCUAAUGGUGAAUGGUUGUUAAAGCGGGGGACCCUUCGGGGCCUCGUGCCUGGAGAGGAGCCUGCGGCAGAUUAGCUAGUUGGUAGGGUAAUGGCCUACCAAGGCGACGAUCUGUAGCUGGUCUGAGAGGACGGCCAGCCACACUGGCACUGACACACGGGCCAGACUCCUACGGGAGGCAGCAGUGGGGAAUUUUGGGCAAUGGGGGCAACCCUGAUCCAGCAAUGCCGCGUGGAGGAUGAAGUCCCUUGGGAUGUAAACUCCUUUCGAUCGGGACGAUAAUGACGGUACCGGAAGAAGAAGCACCGGCUAACUCUGUGCCAGCAGCCGCGGUAAUACG
Molecule: ribosomal RNA, 433 nt
Filed under: Escherichia coli
Lineage: Bacteria; Pseudomonadati; Pseudomonadota; Gammaproteobacteria; Enterobacterales; Enterobacteriaceae
Description: bacterial SSU rRNA
Rfam family: Bacterial small subunit ribosomal RNA
Source: RNAcentral